Sturnus vulgaris (Common starling) is the source of this 981-nucleotide non-coding RNA. NCBI's taxonomy places the organism in Eukaryota, Metazoa, Chordata, Aves, Passeriformes, Sturnidae. The record is from RefSeq and is a predicted model, not a curated record.
AAUUCUAUAUAUGUAUGUGAGCUCUGUGUUGCUCCUGCUUUAUGGGUGAGGAAAGGGCAUGGUGUACAUAUGCUGAACAAAGAAGUUAAUUUUUCCUUGUACUCUUCCUUUGUAGCCUGUCGAGUCUUUUGGUGAGAGGACUUAUAAUCCUUCUCCUAGCAGCACUUCAUGAACUGAAAUCUUUCUCUAGGAAGACGAUGAUGUGCCAGUUCUCAGUAUAUGAGACAUGAGGUCUCACACAUGGAUACACAAAAGGACUGCAUAGUGUGCUGAAGACUGGGGAGAAGAUAGCCUUGUGUGAAAGGUGGAACCUUUUUCUUCUAAUGGCUGCUUCAAGUGUUUCCUCCAUAAAUCUUUUUCCUUGUCUUGAAAGUUUCCUUGAUGUGCUGGGCUGUAAAUCCUUGAAGGAAUUGCAUGGUCUAGGUGGAAGUUGGUUGGCUUUGUCCUUUUUCAUGAGCCAAGACUGAAGAAUUACUGAAAUGUUGCAACUGUCAAUCGGUUUGUUUUCUGCAGUGCCUGCUCAGCACUCGUGACUGAUAUUGAACCUGAGCUGUCCUGUAUCAGAAAAAUAUGGGAAUAUAUGGAGAUGUCCGAUGGAAUGCUGGUCUCUCCACUCACCCUUGGCUCUGUAAUUUCAUUAUCCAGCCAUGGAGGACCUGUGUCCCAACUGGCCCAAGGUGUCUGAAUAUAGAUGAUGUCAGGGGUUUGACUUGGCAGUCUUGCAGUGCUCAAAUCCCUACUUCCACCUUGGCAAAUGCAGGUUUAGAGAAUUUCUGAGAUGUUCUAGUGCAGAGAGGAGAGGACCCUGAAAGUCACAGCUGGAGAGAGGGAGAUCCCAGAGGGGCAUCACCCCUGAAGGACAGUGAUCUCUCCUUUUCACCAGCUGCCAGCACUGCUGAUCCAUGUGGGCUGGGCAGGGCAAUGCUGCCUUCUUCAUGUGAAUCAGAAGAGCGAGGAAAGCUAAUUGCCAGGUAAGGUCAU